RNAcentral lists this long non-coding RNA (1325 nucleotides) under Polistes fuscatus (common paper wasp). Its description in RNAcentral is "uncharacterized LOC122521883". Lineage: Eukaryota; Metazoa; Arthropoda; Insecta; Hymenoptera; Vespidae. The record is from RNAcentral.
UUUUGUAAUAAAAAGAAGAAAAAAGUGCGAUCGAGAAUGCUUCUGCUUCAUGCAGCUGAUGUUCAGCAAUUUAAAGAUAGUGUCAAACCUAAUAUUGAAAGUCAUGAAGAGUUUACAGAUUUUUCUAAUAAAUUGGAUAAUUUUUCUGGCUCAAAAAUCUAUUAUCAUACUGAAUGCCGAGUUGAUUUUAAUAAUAAGUUAUCUUCACUAAAAGCAACGCCUAGCAAAACGGAGUGGCAUUAUCACCGGGAGUAUCAUCAAACAGUUUUUAAUGAAAUUAGUACAAUCAUUAAAGAAGACGUGAUUAAAAAAGGGCGGUGUUUUUUAUUAGUGUAUUUACAUGAAUCAUAUAUCGAUUUAUUAGAAAAAAUUUUCAAGAAAAUUCUAUUCAAAUGACAGCUACUUUCACAGCACACCAUCUUGAAGAAAAAAUUUUAAAAGUAUUCUCUAAGGAUAUAAAAUUCUUUACUGUUCGUAAUAAAAAAAACUAGCUCCAAAAUAUCUAGAAGCCAUCGAUGAUUCAGUACUGGAUAAUUUACAACAAGAAAACAUUUUACAAAAAUCUGCAUUGAUUCUGAGAAAAAUAAUACUCCAAAUAGAAAAAAAAAAAUUAUCAACAAAAAAUAUAACAUCACAGCAUUUAAUAUCCGGAGAAGUUUCAAUACCAGAAGAAUUAUCAAACUUUUAUUCUACCCUUCUUGGUGGAUGUAACCAAAAACGAAAGACUGGCCAAAAAUGUUCUCGUCUAGUUCGUUCUUAUUGUCAAGAUGUUAUUUUCGGAGUUCAUGAUGGUCGAGUUAAAACGUCGAAGCAUAUCAUGUUAGGUUUGACUCUAAAAAGCUUAACAAGCAGCAGAAAAAUAAUUGACAUUAUAAACAGAUAUGGACACUGUAUUAGUUAUCAAGGCGUUGAAGAAUUAGAAACUGAAACUACAUUUACAUCAAUGAAAAAGUCUAGCUUAUGUCCAGAAACAAUAAAAAAAAAACCAGAGCUUUUUACUGGUGUGGCAUACGAUAAUUUUGAUCGUUUUGUUGAAACUUUUAGUGGUAAGGAUACUUUACACGACACAGUCGGAAUAAUAUACCAAAAUAUCGAUGCAGAUACAGCUGACGAGCCUGAAAUGUCCGAAGUUUCAAGUGAAAAUACUUCGCCGAAUAAAAAAGAAGAAGAAGAACAUUUGAUGAAAUAAAUAUAGAUGAAAUGCCAUACCCUAACAAACCCAAAAUGACAAAAAACAAUGAAGAAGGCGAUAUUGAAGACGAUCAAUCCACAGAAUGGAAUAAUAGUGACGAGGAGUAUGGAUGUAUUGACGACGACGAUGAAAA